UACGAAGGGGGCUAGCGUUGUUCGGAAUUACUGGGCGUAAAGCGCGCGCAGGCGGUCUUCCAAGUCAGUGGUGAAAGCCCGGAGCUCAACUCCGGAACUGCCAUUGAAACUGUUAGACUUGAGGACGAGAGAGGUGAGUGGAAUUCCCAGUGUAGAGGUGAAAUUCGUAGAUAUUGGGAAGAACACCGGUGGCGAAGGCGGCUCACUGGCUCGUAACUGACGCUCAUGCACGACAGCGUGGGGAUCAAACAGG
This 253-nucleotide ribosomal RNA is filed under the name uncultured bacterium. RNAcentral describes it as "partial 16S ribosomal RNA". It matches the Rfam family "Bacterial small subunit ribosomal RNA", at positions 524 to 776 of the family's 1533-position model. The record is from RNAcentral.